Molecule: long non-coding RNA, 263 nt
Organism: Sebastes umbrosus (honeycomb rockfish)
Lineage: Eukaryota; Metazoa; Chordata; Actinopteri; Perciformes; Sebastidae
Exons: 2
Source: RefSeq, a predicted model, not a curated record
AGGACAGAAGUGAUUGAGACAUGUUUCAGAGGAUGAGUUAGAGGACAGAAGUGAUGGAGACAUGUUUCAGAGGAAGAGUUAGAUUACAGAAGUGAUGGAGACAUGUUUCAGAGGACGAGUUAGUGGACAGAAGUGAUGGAGGCAUGUUUCAGAGGACGAGUUAGAGGACCGAAGUGAUGGAGACAUGUUUCAGAGGACGAGUUAGAGGACAGGAGUGAAGGAGACAUGUUUCAGAGGACGAGUUAGAGGACAGAAGUGAUGGA